RNAcentral lists this non-coding RNA (770 nucleotides) under Lonchoptera multiseta. The record is from RNAcentral. Lineage: Eukaryota; Metazoa; Arthropoda; Insecta; Diptera; Lonchopteridae.
GCUUAAAAUUUUAUUAUUAAUUUAUUUUAUAUGUAAAUUUUUGUGAGAGUUAUUAAUUAUUUUAAAAAUAUAUAAUAUAUAAGUAUUCGCAGUAAUUAAUAUUAUUAAUUAAAGAAAUUUAGAAAUAGUAAUAUUAUUUAAUAUUGACUAAAUUUGUGCCAGCAGUCGCGGUUAUACAAAAAAUAUAAAUAAAAUUUUUUAGUAAAAGUUAAAUAUUUAAUUAAAAAUUAUAAUAAUUUUGUUAAGUGAAAUUUUAAAAUUAUUUAUUUUUAUAAAAAAAAAUUAUUGAAGCUUAUAAAUUUUAAAAUUAAACUAGGAUUAGAUACCCUAUUAUUUAUUAUUUAAGUAAAAAUACUAGGGUAGUAAUAGAUAUGUUCUUGAAACUUAAAAAAUUUGGCGGUAUUUUAGUCUAUUCAGAGGAACCUGUAUUAUAAUCGAUAGUCCGCGUUGAAUCUUACUUAAAUUUGUUUUUCAAUUUGUAUACCGUCGUUAUUAGAAUAUUUUAUAAGAAAAAUAAUUUUCAAUAAAUUUAAUUAAAUUUAAUGUCAGAUCAAGGUGCAGUUUAUAUUUAAGUAAUAAUGGGUUACAAUAAAAUUAUUUAUAUGGAUAAAGUAAUGAAAAAUCUUUUAAAAGUGGAUUUGAUAGUAAAAUUAUAAAGAUUAAUAAAUUGAUUAUAGCUCUAAAAUAUGUACACAUCGCCCGUCGCUCUUAUUAUUAAGAUAAGAUAAGUCGUAACAUAGUAGAUGUACUGGAAAGUGUAUCUAGAAUAU